ACUCAUGAGAGAGAAGCUGAGGCGAGGGCGUCUACCUAGAGGGUUUCUGUCGAUCAGGGCGAGAGUAGGAGUAUCCAACAGGAUUAGAGACCCUGGUAGUUCCUACCUUAAACGAUGCCGACAGGAGUUUGUCAUUUGUUAAUGGCAGAAUCUUUGGAGAAAUCAUAGUUCUUGGGCUCUGGGGGAACUACGACCGCAAGGCUGAAACUUGAAGGAAUUGACGGAAGGGCACACCAGGGGUGGAGCCUGUGGCUUAAUUUGAAUCAACACGGGGAAACUUACCAGGACCAGAUGUUUUUUAUGACUGACAGGCUUCGGGUCUUUCAGGAUAUUGUUUUUGGUGGUGCAUGGCCGUUGGUGGUGCGUGGGUUGACCUGUCUAGCGUUGAUUCAGCUAACGAGCGAGAUUAUCGCCAAUUAUUUACUUUGCCGAAGUCCUUCGGUUAAAGUUCUAAUUGGGACUCCCUGCGAUUUUAGCAGGUGGAAGAGGGUAGCAAUAACAGGUCCGUGAUGCCCUUUAGAUGCUCUGGGCUGCACGCGUGCUACAAUGUUAGGAUCAAUAGGACUGCGAGCCUGAGAGGGUGCGCUACUCUUAUAAUCCCUAACGUAGUUGGGAUUGACGUUUGUAAUCAGCGUCAUGAACCAGGAAUCCCUUGUAAAUGUGUGUCAACAACGCACGUUGAAUACGUCCCUGCCCUUUGUACACACCGCCCGUCGCUCCUACCGAUUGGAUGACUCGGUGAAAUCACCGGAUGCUUACGAGCAGAAAGUGAUUAAAUCACGUUAUCUAGAGGAAGGAGAAGUCGUAACAAGGUAACGGUAGGUGAACCUGCCGUUGGAUCAGUU
Non-coding RNA from Trichomonas vaginalis G3, 845 nucleotides. The record is from Rfam. Lineage: Eukaryota; Parabasalia; Trichomonadida; Trichomonadidae.